Molecule: long non-coding RNA, 317 nt
Filed under: Marmota monax (woodchuck)
Lineage: Eukaryota; Metazoa; Chordata; Mammalia; Rodentia; Sciuridae
Source: RNAcentral
AAUGCAUUGCAUGGCAGGUAGUUUGCUGGUAAAUUGGUAACAGCAGCCUAUGUACCUCUUCCAACUUACCACAACCUCUUCCCUGAUUCUAUGACAGCAACACAACUACUGGUUCCAAGUAGACGAUGAAGGAAGAUAUAGUUCCUUAUGUACAUAGCUUCCUUUUUUUUCCCUUGAGAAUUCAUCUUGAGUUAUCUUUUAUUUAGAUAAAAAUAAAGAGUCAAAGGUCUACUGUCAUUUGUAUACAAUUCCUUACCUUGAAAAACUAAAAAUGUUAACCGGAAAAAAAAAAAUCAAUAGAAAGCAUAACCAACAGA